Molecule: transfer RNA, 65 nt
Filed under: Saprospiraceae bacterium
Lineage: Bacteria; Pseudomonadati; Bacteroidota; Saprospiria; Saprospirales; Saprospiraceae
Description: tRNA-OTHER
Source: RNAcentral
UCGGAAGUAGCUCAGAUUGGUUUAGAGCGGCACGAUGGUUACGCAGGUUCGAAUCCUGCUCCGAC